This 487-nucleotide ribosomal RNA is filed under the name uncultured bacterium. RNAcentral describes it as "bacterial SSU rRNA". It matches the Rfam family "Bacterial small subunit ribosomal RNA", at positions 17 to 507 of the family's 1533-position model. The record is from RNAcentral.
UCAUGGCUCAGAGUUGAACGCUGGCGGAAUGCUUACACAUGCAAGUCGAACGGUAGAGGGGCAACCCUUGGAGAGUGGCGAACGGGUGAGUAAUAUAGUCGGAACGUGCCAGUCGUGGGGAUAACGUAGCGAAAGUUACGCUAAUACCGCAUACGAUCUAAGGAUGAAAGCGGGGAUCGCAAGACCUCGCGCGAUUGGAGCGGCCGAUAUCAGAUUAGGUAGUUGGUGAGGUAAAGGCUCACCAAGCCGACGAUCUGUAGCUGGUCUGAGAGGACGACCAGCCACACUGGGACUGAGACACGGCCCAGACUCCUACGGGAGGCAGCAGUGGGGAAUUUUGGACAAUGGGCGCAAGCCUGAUCCAGCAAUGCCGCGUGCAGGAUGAAGGCCUUCGGGUUGUAAACUGCUUUGUACGGAACGAAACGGUGAGCUCUAAUACAGUUUGCUAAUGACGGUACCGUAAGAAUAAGCACCGGCUAACUACGUG